Molecule: ribosomal RNA, 526 nt
Filed under: Melanohalea aff. multispora SL-2012
Lineage: Eukaryota; Fungi; Ascomycota; Lecanoromycetes; Lecanorales; Parmeliaceae
Description: eukaryotic LSU rRNA
Rfam family: Eukaryotic large subunit ribosomal RNA
Source: RNAcentral
AAUUUGAAAUCUGGCCCCUCCGGGGUCCGAGUUGUAAUUUGUAGAGAGUGCUUCGGGUGAGACCGCGGUCUAAGUCCAUUGGAACAUGGCGUCCCAGAGGGUGAGAAUCCCGUAUGUGACUGCGGCUCGAGCCCAUGUGAAGCCUCUUCGACGAGUCGAGUUGUUUGGGAAUGCAGCUCUAAAUGGGUGGUAAAUUUCAUCUAAAGCUAAAUACUGGCUGGAGACCGAUAGCGCACAAGUAGAGUGAUCGAAAGAUGAAAAGCACUUUGGAAAGAGAGUUAAACAGUACGUGAAAUUGUUGAAAAGGAAGCGCUUGCAACCAGACCUGUCCGUAGGCGAUCACCCGCUGUUCUCAGCGGUGCACUCGUUCUGCGAUCAGGCCAGCAUCGGUUCGGGCGGCCGGAUAAAGGCCUUGGGAAUGUAGCUCUCCUCCGGGGGAGUCUUAUAGCCCUCGGUGCAAUGCGGCCAGCCGGGACCGAGGACCGCGCUUCGGCUAGGAUGCUGGCGUAAUGGUUGUAAGCGACCC